This 973-nucleotide ribosomal RNA is filed under the name Salmonella enterica. RNAcentral's name for it is "bacterial SSU rRNA". It matches the Rfam family "Bacterial small subunit ribosomal RNA", at positions 108 to 1077 of the family's 1533-position model. Lineage: Bacteria; Pseudomonadati; Pseudomonadota; Gammaproteobacteria; Enterobacterales; Enterobacteriaceae. The record is from RNAcentral.
GAGUAAUGUCUGGGAAACUGCCUGAUGGAGGGGGAUAACUACUGGAAACGGUGGCUAAUACCGCAUAACGUCGCAAGACCAAAGAGGGGGACCUUCGGGCCUCUUGCCAUCAGAUGUGCCCAGAUGGGAUUAGCUUGUUGGUGAGGUAACGGCUCACCAAGGCGACGAUCCCUAGCUGGUCUGAGAGGAUGACCAGCCACACUGGAACUGAGACACGGUCCAGACUCCUACGGGAGGCAGCAGUGGGGAAUAUUGCACAAUGGGCGCAAGCCUGAUGCAGCCAUGCCGCGUGUAUGAAGAAGGCCUUCGGGUUGUAAAGUACUUUCAGCGGGGAGGAAGGUGUUGUGGUUAAUAACCGCAGCAAUUGACGUUACCCGCAGAAGAAGCACCGGCUAACUCCGUGCCAGCAGCCGCGGUAAUACGGAGGGUGCAAGCGUUAAUCGGAAUUACUGGGCGUAAAGCGCACGCAGGCGGUCUGUCAAGUCGGAUGUGAAAUCCCCGGGCUCAACCUGGGAACUGCAUUCGAAACUGGCAGGCUUGAGUCUUGUAGAGGGGGGUAGAAUUCCAGGUGUAGCGGUGAAAUGCGUAGAGAUCUGGAGGAAUACCGGUGGCGAAGGCGGCCCCCUGGACAAAGACUGACGCUCAGGUGCGAAAGCGUGGGGAGCAAACAGGAUUAGAUACCCUGGUAGUCCACGCCGUAAACGAUGUCUACUUGGAGGUUGUGCCCUUGAGGCGUGGCUUCCGGAGCUAACGCGUUAAGUAGACCGCCUGGGGAGUACGGCCGCAAGGUUAAAACUCAAAUGAAUUGACGGGGGCCCGCACAAGCGGUGGAGCAUGUGGUUUAAUUCGAUGCAACGCGAAGAACCUUACCUGGUCUUGACAUCCACGGAAGUUUUCAGAGAUGAGAAUGUGCCUUCGGGAACCGUGAGACAGGUGCUGCAUGGCUGUCGUCAGCUCGUGUUGUGAAAUGUUG